RNAcentral lists this ribosomal RNA (754 nucleotides) under uncultured bacterium. RNAcentral describes it as "bacterial SSU rRNA". It matches the Rfam family "Bacterial small subunit ribosomal RNA", at positions 8 to 796 of the family's 1533-position model. The record is from RNAcentral.
AGAGUUUGAUCAUGGCUCAGAGCGAACGCUGGCGGCAGGUUUAAACACAUGCAAGUCCGAGCGGGCGUAGCAAUACGUCAGCGGCAGACGGGUGAGUAACGCGUGGGAACGUACCUUUUGGUUCGGAACAACACAGGGAAACUUGUGCUAAUACCGGAUAAGCCCUUACGGGGAAAGAUUUAUCGCCGAAAGAUCGGCCCGCGUUCUGAUUAGCUAGUUGGUGAGGUAACGGCUCACCAAGGCGACGAUCAGUAGCUGGUCUGAGAGGAUGAUCAGCCACAUUGGGACUGAGACACGGCCCAAACUCCUACGGGAGGCAGCAGUGGGGAAUAUUGGACAAUGGGCGCAAGCCUGAUCCAGCCAUGCCGCGUGAGUGAUGAAGGCCCUAGGGUUGUAAAGCUCUUUUGUGCGGGAAGAUAAUGACGGUACCGCAAGAAUAAGCCCCGGCUAACUUCGUGCCAGCAGCCGCGGUAAUACGAAGGGGGCUAGCGUUGCUCGGAAUCACUGGGCGUAAAGGGUGCGUAGGCGGGUCUUUAAGUCAGGGGUGAAAUCCUGGAGCUCAACUCCAGAACUGCCUUUGAUACUGAAGAUCUUGAGUUUCGGGAGAGGUGAGUGGAACUGCGAGUGUAGAGGUGAAAAUUUCGUAGAUAUUUCGCAAAGAACACCAAGUGGCGAAGGCGGCUCACUGGCCCGAAUACUGACGCUGAGGCACGAAAGCGUGGGGAGCAAACAGGAUUAGAUACCCCUGUAGUCC